CCUACGGGGGGCUGCAGUGGGGGAUAUUGCACAAUGGAGGAAACUCUGAUGCAGCAACGCCGCGUGAGGGAAGAAGGUCUUCGGAUUGUAAACCUCUGUCCUCAGGGACGAUAAUGACGGUACCUGAGGAGGAAGCUCCGGCUAACUACGUGCCAGCAGCCGCGGGAAUACGUAGGGAGCAAGCGUUGUCCGGCUUUACGGGGUGUAAAGGGUGCGUAGGCGGCGGUGUAAGUCAGGUGUGAAGACUAUGGGCUUAACUCAUAGAUUGGAGUUGGAAGUGUGGGGCUUGGGUGAAGUAGAGGCAGGCGGAACUGCCGAGGUGGCGGUGAAAUGGGUAGGGUUCGGGAAGAAAAGCAGUGGCGAGGGCGGAGUGCUGGGCUUUAUCGGGCGCUGAGUAACGAAAGCAUUGGUAGCAAACAGGAUUAGAUCCCCGGGUAGGC
RNAcentral lists this ribosomal RNA (440 nucleotides) under uncultured bacterium. Its description in RNAcentral is "partial 16S ribosomal RNA". It matches the Rfam family "Bacterial small subunit ribosomal RNA", at positions 338 to 795 of the family's 1533-position model. The record is from RNAcentral.